GUGGAGGUUGUAGCCUUGUCAUUUGGGGAUGGGCACAGGAGAGAGGGCUGGUGUUGCUGAGCAGGAGUGAGAAGGAGGGACUUAAUGACAUGUUUGACCUCCUCCCCUUCAGAAAAAUCAAUUUGCAAUACCCUCCAACCCCACCCUGCUGCAUCAAUCCAGGCCUCAGGAAAAUCCUGGCAUGAGAGAGAGAUGAUUCUACUCUCACACUCAUGCACACACUCAUACAAAUGCUCACACACACAUGCUCACACAUGUGACUGCACACAUUCAUGUACAUUUACACACACACGACUGCACACACUCACACUUGCACACACACUCACAUGUGCUCGCCCAGGUGCACUCACACCAGCUCAGAGUGUUCCCAAUCCCACAUGCCCUCACACUGAUCCAUGCCCGUGCAGACUUGUGCUUGGUCAGACCAUGCUCACACUGGUGCAUGCUCACACUCACAUGCUCUCACUUGAGCUCCCAUGUACUGACACAUGCUCCCAUGCAAACAUACACUCUAACACCUUCACCUGGGUCCCCAGAUCUCCCAGAGCCCCUCCCUCAUCCAGCACUGACCCAGCCAGUGUGGGAAUGUCUUGGCCUGAAGAGGGCGCUGCCCCGCCUGGUAACUGUGAAGAUACUGCAAGCUGUGAGUUAAUGCCCCCCACCCCCCUCCGCACCCCAACCCAAACCAGCCCAGCCUCCCACAUAGCAGGAAAGAGAUAUGGGGACAUUGUUUCUGGUCACCUGCUCCUACCCAGCAGUGCCCCUCCCUCUGCACAAGCCUAUCCUCCACUACCUCCCCCCCACACUCCUUGGAGGCAUAGCCAUGGGUACAGGGCCCAGUUCCGCAUUUGGUGCUUGGGGAUAUUUCUGGAGAGCAUCCCCUGUGACAUAGGGGGUUGUCAUCUCUCCUUUUGGGUUGUAAAUAUUUUAGUACCAAGCAGAACACAAGUGUUUGUUUCAGGUUUAUUUGUUUGUAUGUUAGUUUUUUACACUGAAAAUGGCCCAUCUUAGAUCCAGAUAAUCUGUGUCUGACGUGAAUGUACAAAUCGCAGC
Molecule: long non-coding RNA, 1053 nt
Filed under: Chelonoidis abingdonii (Abingdon island giant tortoise)
Lineage: Eukaryota; Metazoa; Chordata; Testudines; Testudinidae
Description: lncRNA (ENSCABG00000021595.1)
Source: RNAcentral